Non-coding RNA from Cyanistes caeruleus (blue tit), 1666 nucleotides. The record is from RefSeq and is a predicted model, not a curated record. NCBI's taxonomy places the organism in Eukaryota, Metazoa, Chordata, Aves, Passeriformes, Paridae.
UCCCCCGGUAACCCCCGGUAACCCCCCGGUAACCCCCGGUAACCCCCCGGUAGUCGGGCAGCGCUGCCGGGGCAGCGGCGCUGUGGCCGCGGCUGUCUGGGGCUGUUUGCCGAGCAGAAGGCGCUGCUCACCUGCCGGAGCCGGGACAGGUUCUCCGGGGAAACUCCUGCCGUGCGGGGCUUGGGGCCGCUGCUCCCGGGGGCUGAACCCGGGGGAUGAUGGGGAGAAACCCCCCAGCGCCUUCGGAGCUCCUACCAAAUGCACUCGAGUUGUACUUUUUAUUCAUCUCCGUGUUUGUUACAUUGCAGCAACCUGUGCUAGACUUGUUUGACACGAUACACUUCAGAAGGCAGCUGCAUAAUGUUGAACGGGGCAGUCAGACUCUGGCAGGUUACCUGUGUUACCUUGGCCAGCCUGAAGAAGUACAGUCAUAAAAUCUGGACUUCAGAAGGUUGUCCUUUAUCAGCAAGUGAACGCACAUGCCCAUGUUUCCAGGCCUGAGCUGUGUGAUAUGACAGCGAGUGCAAUGUGCUGUGUGUGCAAUGUGCUGUCCUCAUGCUUGUGGUGCCACGGCGGCUUGGUUUUAUGGGGGUGAAAUAAAGCUUGAAAUCUCUGCCAUAUGGCUGUUAUGAUGUUGGGAAUUAUGACACGUCAAAUACUUAGGAUGGGGUAUUUUGCUUUGGGACAGACCACGACUUCCUGAGCAAGAGCCCUGCUUAAUUUAACAAUGAGAACGCACAGAGAAGAACAGACUAUCACAAUGAUGUUCACAGGAUCCUUUCUUUUAGGUUUAAUGUGUAGCAACUUUGGAUUUGCUCAUGAAACCACAAUAUUUUAUUGGUGGUGGGAUAUUUUUUGCCCCCAAGGCUUUAUGUGUUUGUUUACACUGGGAAAGAGGAAUUGGUAAUUGUGUUUGCAGCAUGUAGACUUGGAUUUUUAAUCUCCUCAAAGAGAGGUAUACUUACAACCAGGACUCCGUGUUUCCUGUUAGUUUGUAAUUUAGUUUGUUUAGUCUUCUGCAGUUGCUCUCUGUUACCUUAGACUCCUGGGUAGUGUAUUUAUACUCAUCUACAAUCUAUUCAUUGUCACUCUUUUCAUCUGUGCUCACACCAACUCCACCAGGUGACUUAUUUACUGAACGUUUGUGCAAGAUGCAGCCUUUCACUCUUGCUGGCUUUUGGGUUGCAGGAAGGUUGUGAGGUCCACAACAGAAGCAAUAUCCUCCUAGUCAAAUAUGCCUGCUCUGCAAUAACCAAACUCACAGUAGAUUCUUGUAUUGUGACUCCUAAGAAUGAAAACCUCACAAAUUAAGAUAAGGAAAUGAAUAUGUGGGAAAUAAAAGGGAGAUUUUGUGAUGAUUUCUCUAUAUAAGUGUAUAUAAAGCCUCUCUUUUUUUUCCCAUUCAUAAUCCAAUUCUCCUGGAAGAUGAGAUGAAGAAACCUUCUGAACACAACUUCUAUUCUCAGAGUGGAACUUUGGCUCCCUGUCUGCUCUUCCUGUUGCAGAAGCUGCUGGAACAAGUGUUCCAGCAUCCUAUAAACCCAGGACAGCUUUGUAGCUUCCCUCUGUGUAGUCAGAAUGUGACUGCACUUGCUUCUGUGGCUGACAAAAGCUCACCAGACUGCCUUGAUUCUGCAAUAAAAUUAAUCCACAGUUGCAACACGAA